GACGAACGCUGGCGGCGUGCUUAACACAUGCAAGUCGAACGGUGAACCUCUUCGGAGGGGAUCAGUGGCGAACGGGUGAGUAACACGUGGGCAACCUGCCCCCGGCUCUGGGAUAACUCCAAGAAAUUGGGGCUAAUACCGGAUGUUCACCGCUUCCCGCAUGGGUGGUGGUGGAAAGGGUUUCCGGCUGGGGAUGGGCCCGCGGCCUAUCAGCUUGUUGGUGGGGUAGUGGCCUACCAAGGCGACGACGGGUAGCCGGCCUGAGAGGGUGCCCGGCCACACUGGGACUGAGACACGGCCCAGACUCCUACGGGAGGCAGCAGUGGGGAAUAUUGCGCAAUGGGCGGAAGCCUGACGCAGCGACGCCGCGUGGGGGAUGACGGCCUUCGGGUUGUAAACCUCUUUCAGCAGGGACGAAGCGCAAGUGACGGUACCUGCAGAAGAAGCACCGGCCAACUACGUG
Molecule: ribosomal RNA, 463 nt
Filed under: uncultured bacterium
Lineage: Bacteria
Description: partial 16S ribosomal RNA
Rfam family: Bacterial small subunit ribosomal RNA
Source: RNAcentral